UUCAGAGACAGAAAGAGAGGUGACAUGACGCCUGUCCCCAUUGCUCCUCUCAGGAUCCACAGAAAUUAGUGAACCCUGCUGUAGUACGUAGGUGAGCUGAAGUGGAGAAACCAUAUGCAGGGAAGGAUCCAGGUUGUUCCAGGGCAUAGAUUCCAACUCUGGAGCAUGGAUGUGGGCAGCUGGGCAAGUUGCAUCAGCCUGGCAGCAGGAGGACAGACUGCAGAGCCGCAGGUGCUCAGGAACAUGAGACAGCCCUCUCCAGACCAGCCAAGCCAUGGAAAAU
This 283-nucleotide long non-coding RNA is filed under the name Homo sapiens (human). RNAcentral describes it as "HSALNT0348973". The record is from RNAcentral. Lineage: Eukaryota; Metazoa; Chordata; Mammalia; Primates; Hominidae.